UGCUCACUGCAGCAGCACUAUACUAAAAUUUGAAUGAUUCAGCAAAGAUUAGCAUGGACCCUACUUAAGGAUGACACGUAAAUUUGUGAAAUAUUCCAUUUUUUG
Small nuclear RNA from Grammomys surdaster, 105 nucleotides. The record is from RefSeq and is a predicted model, not a curated record. NCBI's taxonomy places the organism in Eukaryota, Metazoa, Chordata, Mammalia, Rodentia, Muridae.